Molecule: long non-coding RNA, 4052 nt
Filed under: Brachypodium distachyon (stiff brome)
Lineage: Eukaryota; Viridiplantae; Streptophyta; Magnoliopsida; Poales; Poaceae
Description: long non-coding RNA (BDIS_LNC002667)
Source: RNAcentral
UCAAACUGUAGUCACCUCCUGCACCAAAACGUCCCAAAAAAUGUUGUGAGUGCCAUAUGAUAAUCACAUGCUCAUUUUAGCAUAAAUUCCCAUUUUUGUAAGUUGUGACAUAUGUAAGCCAACAAAUGAUGGUUAUGCACGCCAUGACUAAGCAUAUCAAUUGGUGCAUUAAGAUUUAAACCUUCUUAGAGAGGUCUAUGCUUUUCCUUCUCAUCAUCAGAGCAUUUUUUAUACACAAAUCAAGUUAACCAGACAACCAAGCCAUUGGAUUUUAAUAAGUUCCUCUAUAGUUGCUUUGUUUCUUACUGGCUUUGAAAGUUACAUGCUUAGAAUUUCUGACUAUCUUGUCAUGGUGACGUCUCAAAGAGUGUAACAGUAGUCCCUCCAAUUUGUUAUCCAAGUGUCUAUGACAAUUGCAAAAUUAUGGCUUAAGAAUGUGCAGCUCCAAGAAUACAGCUAUGGUGGCCUCACUUGUUAAUCAAAUUUCGAAUGCCGAUACAGGUUACAUAGUAAAUUAGAUCCACCAUCUCAGCUGUAUUAACUAGCAGCAGUGAUAACAGUCUAGGCAAUCAACUACACCUUUAACAAGGAAAUCCAGUUUUAACAAGAAAUCAUGUUUACAGUAGAAUGUCAAAGCCGGAGUAGUUUGACUUCAGAGUUUCUUUCUAUACUUGGGACUAGGUCCUUUCAAUUUUGUAUUAUUCUGAGAAACACAAUCCGAUGUUAACAUUUGGGAAGUAGGUGGCCCACAAGUGGUUACUGAAAGCUGUUGGCCUCUGGGUCUUUGAUUCUUUGCGUUGUUGACUUGUUGUUGGUUUCGAAGCAAGUAAAACCUGAAUUGGUCAACUUCCCUUUUAGAUCGAGCUGAUUGCAGGUUUCAUUUAAUGAUUCAAUUUUGUUCAGUUAAAUUACAAUGGUCUGUAAACAUGGGAUCACAAUUCAGUGAUCAUAAAAAACUCCAAGUUGGAUUGGUUAUACCUAAGCCAACUACGCUUGAUAGAAUUUUUAAGAUAAGUUAAGAGAAAAACCUUCUCUCAGAAGCUGCUGAAGAUUUCCUCUGGGCAUGAAGUCAUAAACAAGUGCUAGGCACUUCUUGUUUUGGCAAUAUCCUUCCAAAGUCACAAGAUUCUUGUGAUGAACUUUUGACAAGGUUUGCACCUGCAGCAACAGUUAUGGUUACCAAACAUCCUAGAGAUGAAGCCAACUGCAUUUUUUUUAAUAUGGACUGCGGAAAGGGUUUAUGAUGUCUUGCAGACAUAUAGUUUACUUUUUUAUUGAAGAAAGCAAUGAUUUGGCCUAGUUGGUUUUGUGGUAUACCUCAGGGAGGAAGUCUGUCGACUCUGCUAUUGAUGUCUCCAUAAGCACCUUAACAGCUACUUCAUCACCAUUUCCCAGUAUGCCAUGAUAAACAGUUCCGAAACCUCCUUUUCCAAUGAUUGAUUGGAAGUCUUUUGUUAUGAGCUUCAGCUCUGCGUACGUGAACCGUCUAAUGUCAAUAUGUAGCGGAGUUUCCUCUUCACACAUAGCAUAAUCUUCAUGGUCUCCUGACUUCCCUGCAGAGUCAAGAAGUUGUGUUUUACUUGAAAGCAAAGGUAUGAAACUGCUGUGUAAUGUCUACCACCCAAUACAUCGAGAAAAGAGAAUUUUAGAACGGAGAAUUUUGUUUUACCUUUCCAGCACAACUUCCAGAGUAUGCAGAUCACUACUAAGAGGGAUACCAGUCCGACAGGAACUAUCACUGUGAUGAGCAAGGUUUGUGUGGUGCUCUUCUUCUUAUUUGAACAGUAUGUAGCUUUGACUUUUGAGCAUAUGGGAUUGCCUUCUAAUCUAGUAGCACAAUUACAUGGAAAAAGUGAGCUCAAAAGGUCUUAGCUACAACAACUCUAUAAAAUUAUGGCUACAACGUGCCUCCAUUUUCUAACACAAUUAACCUGCUAAAAUUGCUUCACUGCUUCUAAACGUCUAUGCACUCUAAAAGAACAAACCGCAUGGUUUCUGAAUCACGUUCAGUUACUAAUAGGUCCUUAUCUACCUCUCAUGUUGAAAGGCCAUAGAUUAUAAAGAAUUUAAGUUACUAGAUGGUAGUACAUUAAUUGAGGCUUGUUUGGAUUAACAAUUUAACAUGAUGCACUAACAUGGCUCGACACUUUUGGUGGCUCCCAAAUUAGCCACCACAACUUCGUCAAAUUUGGCAAGGGUUUAUUAUGUACAAGGGACACUGCUCUGCAUGGUACUAGAAAAAUAUGGUGCAGCACAAGCAUGGCACUAACCAAACAGUGGCCAGAGAAAGUCAAACUUGCGCAACUCCAGUUUGACAAGUGUGGCUAGGAACUAAAUGCUUUUUAACCAUUGCAUUUGCAUUAUACGUGCAAGACUGUUGGUAAACCUUGGAAUGUUUCUAUGAUAAGUCGAUAACCAACCUUGGGUAGAGCCUAUUACUUUUUGGUGUACUUUGUUUAGUUUGUUAUAUACUUAUAUUUUUCUAUAUUCUACGAAGGAAUUGUGCAACGGGGCAUGCCAAACCUUAAGUCAAGCUGAUCAGCCUGGAAUCUUUGAAGAAUAGAAUUAGGGAUUGGUCCAUCGAGCUGAUUAUUUGACAAGUCACUGAAAAUAGUAGUUAAAUCAUUCACUAAUUUAUAUCAUCAACCAAAGAUUUAAUCAGUACGUCAACUUACAGAACUUCGAGUGACUUUAGUGGAUAGUCUGGAAUAGGUCCCAUCAAAUUGUUGUGUGAUAAAUUCCUACAUAUGUUUUGUGCUUAAGGUCACAAAAGAUGUCAACAUAAUCUCGUUUAGCACAUCGAUGUUAUGUGGUAGCCGGUAGGCACUACUUACAAGUUUUCCAGUGAUACCAUGCCCAGGAAUGACAUGGCUAAUUCACCUUCCAGUCCGCUGUUAGACAGACUCUGCAAAAGAACUCAUUUUUAGUACAAUUCAUAUUAAUUUACUGAUAGCAUUAAACUAACAUGUAGUUUGAAUAUUAUGUUAAUAUAUUCUUGUACUUCUGUUUUACACUGAAACGUUACCUGUAUUUUCAAGAUUUCAACUAGAUUGUGUGUUUUCAAGAUCUUAGCCAGUAAGACAAGUGACUGAAUGGUCAUCCAUGUAUAAAAAGAAAGAACAGAAAUCUUGAGCAUCAUGUAAACCAAAUGGGAAAUUUUUUGGAGCGUUAAACUGCUUGGGGAUGAAUUGCACUUCAAAGGAUAAAAAGAUUGAACCGCGAUGUUGAAAAUUCAAAAUAUAUAUGGUACAAGUCCUGUAAAUAUACUUACACACUGACAAUCCUCGGGUUCUGGUUGCUUUUGGAGUAGUUGCAAGUCAAUCCUUCCCAGGAAUACUCUCUUGGGGAGCAUGGGUCUCCAUUCCAGUUUAUGCGUGACAAAUUGUAGCUUCUUGAUUUCUUUCAUGUAAUUGACUACAACAGAAUAAAGACAACAUAAACAAAUAUUAAGAAAAGAACAUAAACAAAUAUUAACAUAAUAAAGAAAGCUGUUUAUGUGGCUAUGGGGCCUUAUUAUUAGUAAAUAGAAAGAUCAAAGCAAACUUAAGAAGUUGCAAAAUUAUUUUAUGCUAGUUUUAUCUUUUGAUAGAACUGAAUAAAUUUUAUUAAUUCAUUUCUCUACUAUGUUCUUGGCCGUCGCUCAUUGGCAAUUAAAGGUUUGAAGACGGCCUAGUAAGGAGUUUAGUGUGCAACUGGAUCAAUCUGUUGAUAAAUUUGUUUCUCCUGCUUCAAUGGAAGAUCCUUGCAGUGAGACCUCAGUCAUCAACAGCCUUUCAGUUCAAACAACUGAAUAAACUACAUGACGAUCAUGGGCGCCUGUCACAUAAAUGACAAAUGUGUGAUGCAGGUGCAGUAUAUAUAUUGAUCUUACCAUCAUCAGAGUCAGUGGUGAGGUUAUCCAUCCGAACGAGCGAGUACAGCUCAAAAGCGUUGAUGAGUGGUGGGAGGCUUGACUUGUUUGUCUUCUUCAGGAGGAAGGAUCCCUCGGGGUUGUGCAAGAGCCGCCCAUUCUCAUGCAUGCUGCGCAAUUCGAAUCGCGGUGGGGAGUAGUC